UGAGGAAUAUUGGUCAAUGGGCGAGAGCCUGAACCAGCCAAGUAGCGUGCAGGAUGACGGCCCUAUGGGUUGUAAACUGCUUUUAUAUGGGAAUAAAGUGAGGGACGUGUCCCUUAUUGCAUGUACCAUACGAAUAAGGACCGGCUAAUUCCGUGCCAGCAGCCGCGGUAAUACGGAAGGUCCAGGCGUUAUCCGGAUUUAUUGGGUUUAAAGGGAGCGUAGGCUGUUUGUUAAGCGUGUUGUGAAAUGUAAGAGCGCAACUUUUAGAUUGCAGCGCGAACUGGCAGACUUGAGUGCGCACAACGUAGGCGGAAUUCAUGGUGUAGCGGUGAAAUGCUUAGAUAUCAUGACGAACUCCGAUUGCGAAGGCAGCUUACGGGAGCGCAACUGACGCUAAAGCUCGAAGGUGCGGGUAUCGAACAGG
RNAcentral lists this ribosomal RNA (424 nucleotides) under Verrucomicrobiota bacterium. Its description in RNAcentral is "Verrucomicrobia bacterium partial 16S ribosomal RNA". It matches the Rfam family "Bacterial small subunit ribosomal RNA", at positions 355 to 776 of the family's 1533-position model. The record is from RNAcentral. Lineage: Bacteria; Pseudomonadati; Verrucomicrobiota.